UACGGGGGGGGCAAGCGUUGUUCGGAAUUACUGGGCGUAAAGGGCUCGUAGGCGGCCAACUAAGUCAGACGUGAAAUCCCUCGGCUUAACCGGGGAACUGCGUCUGAUACUGGAUGGCUUGAAUCCGGGAGAGGGAUGUGGAAUUCCAGGUGUAGCGGUGAAAUUCGUAGAUAUUCGGAAGAACACCAGUGGCGAAGGCGGCUCACUGGACCGGCAUUGACGCUGAGGUGCGAAAGCGUGGGGAGCAAACAGG
RNAcentral lists this ribosomal RNA (253 nucleotides) under uncultured bacterium. Its description in RNAcentral is "partial 16S ribosomal RNA". It matches the Rfam family "Bacterial small subunit ribosomal RNA", at positions 524 to 776 of the family's 1533-position model. The record is from RNAcentral.